RNAcentral lists this unclassified non-coding RNA (338 nucleotides) under uncultured fungus. RNAcentral describes it as "partial contains 5.8S ribosomal RNA and internal transcribed spacer 2". The stretch from base 1 to 133 matches the Rfam family "5.8S ribosomal RNA", at positions 22 to 154 of the family's 154-position model. Lineage: Eukaryota; Fungi. The record is from RNAcentral.
UGGUUCUGGCAUCGAUGAAGAACGCAGCGAAAUGCGAUAAGUAAUGUGAAUUGCAGAAUUCAGUGAAUCAUCGAAUCUUUGAACGCACAUUGCGCCCGCCAGUAUUCUGGCGGGCAUGCCUGUUCGAGCGUCAUUUCAACCCCUCAGGCCCUGGUGCCUGGCGUCGGGGCGUUCCCUCGCGGGAACCCCUUAGAAACAGUGGCGGGCCCGCCGCGGCUCCGAGCGUAGUAGUAAAAUUCUCGCUUUGGAGGUCCGCGGGGGGUUUUCCCGGCCGUUAAACCGGACUCUCUUGUCCACUUCUCAAGGUUGACCUCGGAUCAGGUAGGAAUACCCGCUGA